UACGUAGGGUGCGAGCGUUGUCCGGAAUUACUGGGCGUAAAGAGCUCGUAGGUGGUUUGUCGCGUUGUUCGUGAAAACUCACAGCUUAACUGUGGGCGUGCGGGCGAUACGGGCAGACUGGAGUACUGCAGGGGAGACUGGAAUUCCUGGUGUAGCGGUGAAAUGCGCAGAUAUCAGGAGGAACACCGGUGGCGAAGGCGGUUCUCUGGGCAUGUCCUGACGCUGAGGAGCGAAAGUGUGGGGAGCGAACAGG
RNAcentral lists this ribosomal RNA (253 nucleotides) under uncultured bacterium. Its description in RNAcentral is "partial 16S ribosomal RNA". It matches the Rfam family "Bacterial small subunit ribosomal RNA", at positions 524 to 776 of the family's 1533-position model. The record is from RNAcentral.